RNAcentral lists this transfer RNA (72 nucleotides) under Camelus bactrianus (Bactrian camel). It matches the Rfam family "tRNA". From Rfam's summary of the family: Transfer RNA (tRNA) molecules are approximately 80 nucleotides in length. RNAcentral also lists the same sequence under 2 other names. The record is from Rfam by way of RNAcentral. Lineage: Eukaryota; Metazoa; Chordata; Mammalia; Artiodactyla; Camelidae.
GAGGAUAUAGCUCAGUGGUAGAGCGCCUAUUUAGCAUGUGUGAGGUCGUGGGUUCAAUCCCCAGUACCUUCA